RNAcentral lists this ribosomal RNA (427 nucleotides) under uncultured organism. Its description in RNAcentral is "bacterial SSU rRNA". It matches the Rfam family "Bacterial small subunit ribosomal RNA", at positions 355 to 774 of the family's 1533-position model. The record is from RNAcentral.
UGGGGAAUUUUGGACAAUGGGCGAAAGCCUGAUCCAGCCAUUCCGCGUGCAGGACGAAGGCCUUCGGGUUGUAAACUGCUUUUGUACGGAACGAAAAGCCCUGGGUUAAUACCCUGGGGUCAUGACGGUACCGUAAGAAUAAGCACCGGCUAACUACGUGCCAGCAGCCGCGGUAAUACGUAGGGUGCAAGCGUUAAUCGGAAUUACUGGGCGUAAAGGGUGCGCAGGCGGUUUUGUAAGACAGAGGUGAAAUCCCCGGGCUCAACCGGGGAACUGCCUUUGUGACUGAAAGGCUGGAGUGCGGCAGAGGGGGGUGGAAUUCCGCGUGUAGCAGUGAAAUGCGUAGAUAUGCGGAGGAACACCGAUGGCGAAGGCAACCCCCUGGGCCUGCACUGACGCUCAUGCACGAAAGCGUGGGGAGCAAACA